Drosophila mojavensis is the source of this 1904-nucleotide RNA transcript. It is a transcript of the gene named 28S ribosomal protein S18c, mitochondrial, with no coding region annotated. NCBI's taxonomy places the organism in Eukaryota, Metazoa, Arthropoda, Insecta, Diptera, Drosophilidae. The record is from RefSeq and is a predicted model, not a curated record. The transcript is spliced from 2 exons.
GGUAAUUAGUUAACCGCGUAGUUCCCUUACAAGCACAUCAAUAUGAAUGUGUUGCUAGUUGUUCUGCCAGUUUUACUUUUAAUCCCUAUUAUUGCUGGAAAAGUUGUAAUUGCUGAAAACACAGCAACUCUUCCAAAUACCAUUGCCAGCCGCGAGGACCUAGUUACAUUGUCAAAAUAUUACGUCAGCAUUCACAAGCCGUAUAAUGUGAAGAAAUAUGUGCCGUAUAGGCCAACAAACAAGACAAAUAUAUUGCAAAUCCCUCCAGCAUUAUUAUUACCGGCAGUGCCAAAGCGCACAACUCAAACGCCCACCAAUGAUUUCGAUUGGGGGAAUGCUGAAGACGAUAUCGAAGUAAUUAGUGAUAUACCAAAUUAUUCUACUGAACAAUCCGCGAGUACCACGGAAAUUCCCGAGAUGUCCACAUCAUUGCUAACUAUAAUUGGAACAACGCCAGGCUUCGAAGCAACCACACCUUAUUACUAUAUCAAUACCAAAGAUUCGAGCACCGAAGAGGACUAUUCAAAUAGCUCCACAACAGAGCCAACGCCUGAAGCUACCAUUACAACAAGCUCACUAGCACCUGAGUCUGAAUCAAUAACCGAAACAAGCUCUACAUCUUUCAUGGAUACGACCGCUGGAAAUGAUUUUACUACAGAACCAACAUCAACCCAGCCAGAAGCGACAACCGAAAUGGAAAACCUAAAAAGUUUACAUCAAUUGGCCACGGAAACAACGCCAACGAUUGAUGUCACCACCAAUAUAAAUUGGGCGUUGCCAACAACAUUGUCCCAGUCAACAACCGAUGUUUCCAUUUCCACAACUCAAGAACCGCAAACAUCAACGUCAGCUGAAACAGAAUCUACCACAAACAUUGCUAGUACUACAAUGCAAUACACAACCGAAUCAACAACUACAAUCGAUUUACCAGAUACUACGAAUUUAGCUAUAUCCACAACUGAUGGAACUACAUACUCCCAGACAGUGACUUCAAACGAAUCAGCAGAUGAAACGACUUCUCUGCCUAUAUUUAAAUCUUCUCGAACCGAGACGUCAAUCGAUUUGCCAGACACAACCAAAUUUAUAUCCACAACUGAAUCGCCAUCAAGAACAUCUUCUCAGCAGGACACUACAACUGAUAAACCAGACACAACUACAAUUCUCGCAGUUACAUCCACAACCGAAACAUCUGAAAGUAAUUCAACUGAAAUUCCACUUACUCUGGCAAACACUUUUGCAGUUGAAAGUACUACUAGGGCUAUUAUUCAAGAGACGACCACAGCAGUGACAGCUAAAACUACCGUAAAAAAUGCUGUAUUUGUUGAUGAUAUAAUUCAACCUAAGCCGAGAAAGUUCACUUAUUCUUCAGAUGUAAUGCCCGAAACGGAUUGGGAUUGAUUGGAUUGGGAGUAAAUAAAAAAUAGUGAAAAAAAUAUUAACCGAGUUGUUUUAUUUGGGACCAUGCAUAUUUACUCAUAUAUCUAUAUCAUAAAAAUAACUAAAAGUCUUUGCACUUGAAUUAUAUAUUCAAUGUCGAAACAUUAUUUAAAUAAACCGCCAAGGGCUGCCAGAUAGUUGAGUUGCAGCUACCAGGGCUGGCAUAUGCGCAAACAGCUGCUGAAAUAUAUCUACUGGCAACAUUCUUACUCUUCUACCUGGUGUGCCUCGCAGCCCUAUCAACCGAAAGCGAAAAUAUUAAAGAUGUUUAAGUUAACAAGGCUUAUCGCUCGAAAUGUGAAUGCUGUCCAUUUAAGAGGCACGCAACAACUAUUACCUCGCUCGUUCGCCAAUGCGCCUGCUGUGAGUGAGACGGAAAACACAUCGACAACAAAAAAUGCCGACGAACCCAUUGAUAUACCAAAUCCUUUUGAAAAGGACCCACAGCUGUGCAUAUUGUGCAAGCA